RNAcentral lists this ribosomal RNA (288 nucleotides) under uncultured Desulfobulbus sp. RNAcentral's name for it is "partial 16S ribosomal RNA". It matches the Rfam family "Bacterial small subunit ribosomal RNA", at positions 1093 to 1382 of the family's 1533-position model. Lineage: Bacteria; Pseudomonadati; Thermodesulfobacteriota; Desulfobulbia; Desulfobulbales; Desulfobulbaceae. The record is from RNAcentral.
CGAGCGCAACCCUGCCUUUAGUUUGCCAGCAGUUCGGCUGGGCAUCUAAAGGGACUGCCGGUGUUAAACCGGAGGAAGGUGGGGAUGACGUCAAGUCCUCAUGGCCUUUAUGACCAGGGCUACACACGUACUACAAUGGCCGAUACAAAGGGCAGCGACACUGCGAGGUGAAGCCAAUCCCGUAAAAUCGGUCUCAGUCCGGAUUGGAGUCUGCAACUCGACUCCAUGAAGUUGGAAUCGCUAGUAAUCGUGGAUCAGCAUGCCACGGUGAAUACGUUCCCGGGCCUU